UAACCUGCCUGGUAGCGGGGGAUAACUAUUGGAAACGAUAGCUGAUACCGCAUAACAGUAGAUGUUGCAUGACAUUUGCUUAAAAGGUGCAAUUGCAUCACUACCAGAUGGACCUGCGUUGUAUUAGCUAGUUGGUGGGGUAACGGCUCACCAAGGCGACGAUACAUAGCCGACCUGAGAGGGUGAUCGGCCACACUGGGACUGAGACACGGCCCAG
RNAcentral lists this ribosomal RNA (217 nucleotides) under uncultured bacterium. Its description in RNAcentral is "partial 16S ribosomal RNA". It matches the Rfam family "Bacterial small subunit ribosomal RNA", at positions 122 to 334 of the family's 1533-position model. The record is from RNAcentral.